GAGUCUAGCCGGUGCUUAUUCUGUCGGUAACGUCAAAACAGCAAAGUAUUAAUUUACUGCCCUUCCUCCCAACUUAAAGUGCUUUACAAUCCGAAGACCUUCUUCACACACGCGGCAUGGCUGGAUCAGGCUUUCGCCCAUUGUCCAAUAUUCCCCACUGCUGCCUCCCGUAGGAGUCUGGACCGUGUCUCAGUUCCAGUGUGACUGAUCAUCCUCUCAGACCAGUUACGGAUCGUCGCCUUGGUGAGCCAUUACCCCACCAACUAGCUAAUCCGACCUAGGCUCAUCUGAUAGCGCAAGGCCCGAAGGUCCCCUGCUUUCUCCCGUAGGACGUAUGCGGUAUUAGCGUCCGUUUCCGAACGUUAUCCCCCACUACCAGGCAGAUUCCUAGGCAUUACUCACCCGUCCGCCGCUCUCAAGAGAAGCAAGCUUCUCUCUACCGCUCGACUUGCAUGUGUUAGGCCUGCCGCCAGCGUUCAAU
This 481-nucleotide ribosomal RNA is filed under the name Pseudomonas sp. BA2.5. RNAcentral's name for it is "partial 16S ribosomal RNA". Lineage: Bacteria; Pseudomonadati; Pseudomonadota; Gammaproteobacteria; Pseudomonadales; Pseudomonadaceae. The record is from RNAcentral.